GGAGGGAGCUAGCGUUGUUCGGAAUUACUGGGGGGCGUAAAGGGGCGCGUAGGGCGGGCCGAUCCAGUCAGGCGUGAAAGCCCCGGGCUCAACCUGGGAAUUGCGUUUGAUACUGAUUGGCUGGAGUCCGGGAGAGGGUAGUGGAAUUCCCAGUGUAGAGGUAAAAUUCGUAGAUAUUGGGAAGAACACCGGUGGCGAAGGCGGCUACCUGGUCCGGUACUGACGCUGAGGCGCGAAAGCGUGGGGAGCAAACAGGAUUAGAUACCCUGGUAGUCCACGCCGUAAACGAUGUGUGCUAGACGUCGGGGGGCUUAGCCCCUCGGUGUCGCCGCUAACGCAUUAAGCACACCGCCUGGGGAGUACGGCCGCAAGGUUA
Molecule: ribosomal RNA, 376 nt
Filed under: uncultured organism
Description: partial 16S ribosomal RNA
Rfam family: Bacterial small subunit ribosomal RNA
Source: RNAcentral